GCUGGCAGCGUGCCUAAACAUGCAAGUCGAGCGAACGGACGAGAAGCUUGCUUCUCUGAUGUUAGCGGCGGACGGGUGAGUAACACGUGGAUAACCUACCUAUAAGACUGGGAUAACUUCGGGAAACCGGAGCUAAUACCGGAUAAUAUUUUGAACCGCAUGGUUCAAAAGUGAAAGACGGUCUUGCUGUCACUUAUAGAUGGAUCCGCGCUGCAUUAGCUAGUUGGUAAGGUAACGGCUUACCAAGGCAACGAUGCAUAGCCGACCUGAGAGGGUGAUCGGCCACACUGGAACUGAGACACGGUCCAGACUCCUACGGGAGGCAGCAGUAGGGAAUCUUCCGCAAUGGGCGAAAGCCUGACGGAGCAACGCCGCGUGAGUGAUGAAGGUCUUCGGAUCGUAAAACUCUGUUAUUAGGGAAGAACAUAUGUGUAAGUAACUGUGCACAUCUUGACGGUACCUAAUCAGAAAGCCACGGCUAACUACGUGCCAGCAGCCGCGGUAAUACGUAGGUGGCAAGCGUUAUCCGGAAUUAUUGGGCGUAAAGCGCGCGUAGGCGGUUUUUUAAGUCUGAUGUGAAAGCCCACGGCUCAACCGUGGAGGGUCAUUGGAAACUGGGAAAACUU
Molecule: ribosomal RNA, 626 nt
Filed under: Staphylococcus aureus
Lineage: Bacteria; Bacillati; Bacillota; Bacilli; Caryophanales; Staphylococcaceae
Description: bacterial SSU rRNA
Rfam family: Bacterial small subunit ribosomal RNA
Source: RNAcentral